UGGAAAGAAUAUUCUACUUUAGAGUCAGGCAAAUCUGAAUCUGAAUUUUUUUUUUGCCAUUUGGAAGUUAUGUGAUUCUAGGUGAGUUGCUUAAAUUUCCUGAAACUUAGUUUCUUCAUGUGCAAAAUGGGUUUAUGAUACCUAGUUUAUAGAGUGGUUGUGCACACCAGGUGAGUCAUGUAAACUACAUAGUGCAAGGUGAACAUUCAACAGAUACUAAGUCUAUUCCUUUUUAUAAACAUGUUGCUGGCCUGAAGAUAUUGCAGAUUACCUAUGUUCAUAAUAUCUGUGAGAGAGUUUUCAAGUGAGAAUUUGUCUGAAGUAAAUGUUUGGAUAUUACUUGAGAAGAAAAGGAUUGAGAAGUAACUAUGUUUCCAGAAGGUAAUUAAAAUUUUAUAAAAUGGCAGAUGAACAUAGAAGACAGUGGGCAGUGGUUGCAGGGAAAGAGCAAGAUUCUGUCUCAAAAAAGAAAUGACUAUAGGUAAUAAAUGAGUAAUUUUUGCAUGUAUCUUGGCCAUACAACUAAAUAUACAACAAAAAUUAUUAAUAGCAAUAAGACAGGAUAUAUAUACACACACACACACAUAUAUAUAUCUCUAUAUAUACACACACACAAAUCUAUAAAAAUCAAUGGAAUUCUUGCUCAUAUCCUAUUAAUAUAGAUCUUGGAAACUGCCAAAAAUACAUUUCAUGAAACUGGCCAAUGCCCUAGCCUGUAUGUCACCUGAUAUUUCUACAUGUAUACUUUAUGUUUUUUCCUCAACACAAAGGUUUUUUUGUUCUCAUAGAAACAAAUUAUGCAGACUCAAUGGGAAAAGCAAAGGAAGAUACAAAUAAUGGGAUACCUAUGAGGAAAUAUUAAUUGAUGUGAAGAUAGUAAUAUUCCCUAGUUUAUAUUUAUAUCUGGUACAAUAUUGGAGUCUUUGCAGAAUAUUUCUCAGACAUUAAAUUUUUUGAAAUAUAAAUCUUUAUGGAAGAGUGAGCAAGAGUGCCAGAAGUUUUUUUUAAAGGCAAUAACAGUGUCAUUGCUAUAUAAGAUUUUUAAAAUGACAAUCAAAACUACAUGAUAUGGAGCUGAAAACUGGAUAAAUUCAGAAAUACAUUUAAAUUACUAAAGUAGAUGUCUAAAAAUAUUUGUUAAAGAGAGGUUGAAUAUAUCUCAGGCCUCAAGAUUUAACAAAAGUAUUAUAGUAAUGAGAAAAUUAAUGAAUAUUGAAUGUUCUAUGGGGCAGCUGAAUACCAGUAUAAAAUAUAUUAACUUGAAUUAAUUUC
Molecule: long non-coding RNA, 1272 nt
Filed under: Macaca fascicularis (crab-eating macaque)
Lineage: Eukaryota; Metazoa; Chordata; Mammalia; Primates; Cercopithecidae
Description: lncRNA (ENSMFAG00000058176.1)
Source: RNAcentral